UUUUUCAGUCCGCAUCAGUUCGAUGACUGUCAAGAUCCACCGUUGCAAUAUGGUUUUGGCUGGACUGCUGCGCAUCCCACCGAACUGGUUGGCAAUCUAUGCAAAAAAAAAUAAAAUAAAAUCGAACGACCUUAUUACACUGUUCAUCACGUCUCUCAACUGAAGGCAAAGCCGGCUCUUAUGCUGUUCUUCACCCUGCAAAUCAAGGUGAUGCGUAGCCAGGUUCAGGCUUUAACCUCAAACAACCAAGCGCCUCUUAAUUUUUUUGGGAAGUUUUGCUACAGUUAAGUGAAAUCAACUAACCAACUGAGCAGCUCUGUUGUUACUACUAGUAGUAACAGAUUCGUGUGAUAAAUUCUUUGAGUUAAUUUGCUACUCCAAUAAGUUAGCAUGAAGUUUGAGCUGAAUUGUACAUCUGGUGCAGCUAUACCGUCUGCAGCAAUAAGUGGGC
This 451-nucleotide long non-coding RNA is filed under the name Setaria italica (foxtail millet). RNAcentral describes it as "long non-coding RNA (SITA_LNC000714)". Lineage: Eukaryota; Viridiplantae; Streptophyta; Magnoliopsida; Poales; Poaceae. The record is from RNAcentral.